GUGGGGAAUAUUGGACAAUGGGCGCAAGCCUGAUCCAGCCAUGCCGCGUGAGUGAUGAAGGCCCUAGGGUUGUAAAGCUCUUUCACCGGUGAAGAUAAUGACGGUAGUCGGAGAAGAAGCCCCGGCUAACUUCGUGCCAGCAGCCGCGGUAAUACGAAGGGGGCUAGCGUUGUUCGGAAUCACUGGGCGUAAAGCGCACGUAGGCGGACAUUUAAGUCAGGGGUGAAAGCCUGGAGCUCAACUCCAGAACUGCCCUUGAUACUGGGUGUCUCGAGUCCGGAAGAGGUAAGUGGAACUGCGAGUGUAGAGGUGAAAUUCGUAGAUAGUCGCAAGAACACCAGUGGCGAAGGCGGCUUACUGGUCCGGUACUGACGCUGAGGUGCGAAAGCGUGGGGAGCAAACAGGAUUAGAUACCCGGGUAGUCC
RNAcentral lists this ribosomal RNA (425 nucleotides) under uncultured bacterium. RNAcentral's name for it is "partial 16S ribosomal RNA". It matches the Rfam family "Bacterial small subunit ribosomal RNA", at positions 354 to 796 of the family's 1533-position model. The record is from RNAcentral.